RNAcentral lists this ribosomal RNA (585 nucleotides) under uncultured bacterium. RNAcentral's name for it is "bacterial SSU rRNA". It matches the Rfam family "Bacterial small subunit ribosomal RNA", at positions 338 to 916 of the family's 1533-position model. The record is from RNAcentral.
CCUACGGGAGGCAGCAGUGGGGAAUUUUGGACAAUGGGCGCAAGCCUGAUCCAGCAAUGCCGCGUGAGUGAAGAAGGCCUUCGGGUUGUAAAGCUCUUUUGUCAGGGAAGAAAAGGGAUUGGCUAAUAUCUGGUCCUCAUGACGGUACCUGAAGAAUAAGCACCGGCUAACUACGUGCCAGCAGCCGCGGUAAUACGUAGGGUGCAAGCGUUAAUCGGAAUUACUGGGCGUAAAGCGUGCGCAGGCGGUUUUGUAAGACUGUCGUGAAAUCCCCGGGCUUAACCUGGGAAUGGCGAUGGUGACUGCAAGGCUAGAGUUUGGCAGAGGGGGGUAGAAUUCCACGUGUAGCAGUGAAAUGCGUAGAUAUGUGGAGGAACACCGAUGGCGAAGGCAGCCCCCUGGGUCAAAACUGACGCUCAUGCACGAAAGCGUGGGGAGCAAACAGGAUUAGAUACCCUGGUAGUCCACGCCCUAAACGAUGUCUACUAGUUGUCGGGUCUUAAUUGACUUGGUAACGCAGCUAACGCGUGAAGUAGACCGCCUGGGGAGUACGGUCGCAAGNUUAAAACGUUAAGGAAUUGACGG